This 28-nucleotide non-coding RNA is filed under the name Rattus norvegicus (Norway rat). Lineage: Eukaryota; Metazoa; Chordata; Mammalia; Rodentia; Muridae. The record is from RNAcentral.
UUGGAUCAGUAAGGUAAGGGACUCCAAU